RNAcentral lists this ribosomal RNA (468 nucleotides) under uncultured bacterium. RNAcentral describes it as "bacterial SSU rRNA". It matches the Rfam family "Bacterial small subunit ribosomal RNA", at positions 28 to 493 of the family's 1533-position model. The record is from RNAcentral.
GAUGAACGCUAGCGGCAGGCUUAAUACAUGCAAGUCGAGGGGCAGCACGGUUAGCAAUAACUGGUGGCGACCGGCGCACGGGUGCGUAACACGUAUACAAUCUACCUUAAACAGGGGGAUAGCCUUUCGAAAGAGAGAUUAAUACCCCGUAAUAAAUUGAACGGCAUCGUUUGAUUUUGAAAGCUCCGGCGGUUUGAGAUGAGUAUGCGUCUGAUUAGCUAGUUGGUGAGGUAACGGCUCACCAAGGCGACGAUCAGUAGGGGAUCUGAGAGGACUAACCCCCACACUGGUACUGAGACACGGACCAGACUCCUACGGGAGGCAGCAGUAAGGAAUAUGGUCAAUGGAGGCAACUCUGAACCAGCCAUGCCGCGUGCAGGAUGACGGCCCUAUGGGUUGUAAACUGCUUUUAUACAAGAGAAAACCCUGGUACGUGUACCAGGUUGAUAGUAUUGUAAGAAUAAGCAU